UUAUCUUCAGGGCAGGGUGAAAUUCCUGACCGGCGGUCAAAGUCCGCAAGCCAGCAGGCUGAUUCGGUGAAACUCCGAAACCGACGGUAAAGUCCGGAUGAAAGAAGAUG
Molecule: non-coding RNA, 110 nt
Filed under: uncultured Ruminococcus sp.
Lineage: Bacteria; Bacillati; Bacillota; Clostridia; Eubacteriales; Oscillospiraceae
Description: FMN riboswitch (RFN element)
Rfam family: FMN riboswitch aptamer (RFN element)
About the family: The RFN element is a highly conserved domain that is found frequently in the 5'-untranslated regions of prokaryotic mRNAs that encode for flavin mononucleotide (FMN) biosynthesis and transport proteins.
Source: RNAcentral